This 483-nucleotide ribosomal RNA is filed under the name uncultured bacterium. Its description in RNAcentral is "bacterial SSU rRNA". It matches the Rfam family "Bacterial small subunit ribosomal RNA", at positions 30 to 507 of the family's 1533-position model. The record is from RNAcentral.
AUUGAACGCUGGCGGCAUGCCUUACACAUGCAAGUCGAACGGCAGCACGGGAGCAAUCCUGGUGCGAGUGGCGAACGGGUGAGUAAUGUAUCGGAACGUACCUUUCAGUGGGGGAUAACGUAGCGAAAGUUACGCUAAUACCGCAUAUUCUGUGAGCAGGAAAGCAGGGGAUCGCAAGACCUUGCGCUGAUUGAGCGGCCGAUAUCAGAUUAGCUAGUUGGUGAGGUAAAGGCUCACCAAGGCGACGAUCUGUAGCGGGUCUGAGAGGAUGAUCCGCCACACUGGAACUGAGACACGGUCCAGACUCCUACGGGAGGCAGCAGUGGGGAAUUUUGGACAAUGGGCGCAAGCCUGAUCCAGCCAUGCCGCGUGAGUGAAGAAGGCCUUCGGGUUGUAAAGCUCUUUCAGCCGGGAAGAAAACGCAUGGGUUAAUACCCUGUGUGGAUGACGGUACCGGAAUAAGAAGCACCGGCUAACUACGUG